UCAUCAUGCCCUUAUGUUCUGGGCUACACACGUGCUACAAUGGCCGGUACAGACGGACGCAAAGCCGCGAGGUGGAGCAAAUCCUAAAAAGCCGGUCUCAGUUCGGAUUGCAGGCUGCAAUUCGUCUGCAUGAAGUCGGAAUCGCUAGUAAUCGCAGGUCAGCAUACUGCGGUGAAUACGUUCCCGGGCCUU
This 192-nucleotide ribosomal RNA is filed under the name uncultured Bacillus sp. RNAcentral's name for it is "partial 16S ribosomal RNA". It matches the Rfam family "Bacterial small subunit ribosomal RNA", at positions 1190 to 1382 of the family's 1533-position model. Lineage: Bacteria; Bacillati; Bacillota; Bacilli; Caryophanales; Bacillaceae. The record is from RNAcentral.